RNAcentral lists this long non-coding RNA (1318 nucleotides) under Homo sapiens (human). RNAcentral's name for it is "long independently transcribed non-coding RNA 2496 (LINC02496)". Lineage: Eukaryota; Metazoa; Chordata; Mammalia; Primates; Hominidae. The record is from RNAcentral.
GGGGCUUAGAAUUUUAGUUUUAGUUCUCACACUAAUGACAUCAAGUUUGUUCACACUUCUCUGUACCAUUGCCUUUGGGUAGUCCUCUUGUCCACUGACAAUAGACUUGACCAUGUCACUUUCUUUGAUCAGUGAGACAAGCAAAGAAUUGAAACGUGAUGGACCAUUGGAACUUUUCUUCUUUUGCUGAUUUUGGAAACCUGCUGGAUAACAAAGACUGGCCCAGUUUACCCCUUCACCUCAGCUGACAGCCAGCCAGCCCUCGGAGCUGUGACACCUACUUGACUGCAUCUGCUUGAUAAAUAAGAAGAACCAGCUGGUACCUGUAACAUAAAAGAACAGCAAGAAUACAGAAACAAAGCAAAUCAUGAUUCAGAAUGUCACAAUCAUCUUGGAUCUUUGCACUUGCAUCACAAUGUUGGGGAUCUUUUUAUCUUCAUGUAAAGAAGCCCUGGCUAGCCUAAUGUAGGAACCACCUGCAGCAGAAACAAGCCAUCCCAACGGAGGAGCCCUAAUGCCAAACAAGAAAGUUGCAACCAUCCUAAACUCUUCAGCCCCAAGCAAAUCACCAGCCCCAGUCACAUCACCAGCUGAUGGUAGAAAUCCAACAUGCUAACCCGAACCAGAGGAAUAACCCAGCAGCUGACCCAAGACUGGCAAACUAAUAAAAUGGUGGCUAUUAUAAGUUUUGGCUUAGUUUGUUAUGCAACAAUGGAUAAAAUAGGGCUUCUUUGACCACCAGACUUGGAAUGUGCCUUCAGGAGAAAUAAGACAGGCAGUGAAGCUGUUCCUGCAGGCACUGCGCUUGCAGGGGGAAUAUGUUGAUAAGUGAUGCAAAGCCAGAUGAGGUCUCUAGACUCUCCAUAAAAUCUCUCUUUCUUCAACCAGGUUAUCUUACUUCUAUCUGCAAGGCCCAGCACAACCAUCAUCUGUCAGGCAAGCCCAAACUUCUACAGAGAUAUCUCAGAUACAAUAUCAAGUAACAUUUACUGAAAGUUUGUCUAUAUUUUUUAUUCAAGAUCAGGAAAAUGUCAAUCUUUUCUAUUGGUAAGGAACAAUCCUGUUUUUCACUUUAUUUCCUCACAUAAGUGUGAAUGUGUACAGCAAAAUUUCUAGAGGUAGAGUAAUAUUCAAGUCUGCGGUCAGCCACUUGCCAAGUUUGCAAAGUAUGGAUAUAUUAUUUUAUAUACCCAAGACUCAAAUGUUCUCAACUGUAAAAAGUAUAUAUUAGUAAUUUCUAUCUAAUGGAUUUUUGUGAGCAUCAUGUUAUUUUCAAACACUUAAAACACCUGACAUACAAUAAAUGCUCACUAAAACU